RNAcentral lists this ribosomal RNA (509 nucleotides) under uncultured bacterium. RNAcentral's name for it is "bacterial SSU rRNA". It matches the Rfam family "Bacterial small subunit ribosomal RNA", at positions 791 to 1304 of the family's 1533-position model. The record is from RNAcentral.
UAGUCCACGCCGUAAACGAUGGUUACUAGCUGUUUGGACUUCGGUCUGAGUGGCUAAGCGAAAGUGAUAAGUAACCCACCUGGGGAGUACGGUCGCAAGAUUGAAACUCAAAGGAAUUGACGGGGGCCCGCACAAGCGGUGGAGCAUGUGGUUUAAUUCGAUGAUACGCGAGGAACCUUACCAGGGCUUAAAUGUAGAGUGACAGGUCUAGAGAUAGAUUUUUCUUCGGACACUUUACAAGGUGCUGCAUGGUUGUCGUCAGCUCGUGUCGUGAGGUGUCAGGUUAAGUCCUAUAACGAGCGCAACCCCUGUUGUUAGUUACCAGCACAUUAUGGUGGGGACUCUAACAAGACUGCCGGUGCAAACCGUGAGGAAGGUGGGGAUGACGUCAAAUCAUCACGGCCCUUAGUCCCUGGGGCUACACACGUGCUACAAUGGUAGGUACAGAGAGCAGCCAUGUCGCAAGGGCAGAGCGAAUCUAUAAAACCUAUCUCAGUUCGGGAUCGGGA